GGCUCAGAAUGAACGCGGGCGGCGUGCUUAACACAUGCAAGUCGAACGAGGCUGGGGGGGCAACUCUCCAGUCGAGUGGCGGACGGGUGAGUAACACGUGGGUAACCUGCCCGGAAGUGGGGAAUACCUCGGGGAAACUCGAGCUAAUACCGCAUGACACCUUCGGGACGAAAGUCCUGACGAUCAAAGCGGGGUCGCAAGAUCUCGCGCUACCGGAUGGGCCCGCGCCCGAUUAGCUAGUUGGCGAGGUAACGGCUCACCAAGGCUUCGAUCGGUAACCGGCCUGAGAGGGCGAUCGGUCACACCGGAACUGAGACACGGUCCGGACUCCUACGGGAGGCAGCAGUGGGGAAUCUUGCGCAAUGGGCGAAAGCCUGACGCAGCAACGCCGCGUGGAGGAUGAAGGCCCUUGGGUUGUAAACUCCUGUCGGUUGGGAAGAAAUCUUGCGGGGCUCAUACCUCCGCAAGUUGACUGUACCAGCAAAGGAAGCCCCGGCUAACUCUGUGCCAGCAGCCGCGGUAAUACAGAGGGGGCCAGCGUUAUUCGGAAUUAUUGGGCGUAAAGGGCGCGUAGGCGGCCUUGCGUGUCUUUCGUGAAAUCCCUCGGCUUAACUGAGGACGUGCGGAAGAAACUGCAGGGCUCGAGUCCGGGAGAGGGGGGUGGAAUUCCCAGUGUAGCGGUGAAAUGCGUAGAUAUUGGGAGGAACACCGGUGGCGAAGGCGGCCCCCUGGACCGGUACUGACGCUGAGGCGCGAAAGCGUGGGUAGCAAACGGGAUUAGAUACCCCGGUAGUCCACGCCGUAAACGAUGGGCACUUGGUGUCGCGGGUAUCGACCCCUGCGUGCCGAAGCUAACGGCAUAAGUGCCCCGCCUGGGGAUACGGUCGCAAGGCU
RNAcentral lists this ribosomal RNA (894 nucleotides) under uncultured bacterium. RNAcentral describes it as "bacterial SSU rRNA". It matches the Rfam family "Bacterial small subunit ribosomal RNA", at positions 21 to 895 of the family's 1533-position model. The record is from RNAcentral.